CCUACGGGUGGCAGCAGUAGGGAAUAUUGCUCAAUGGGGGAAACCCUGAAGCAGCAACGCCGCGUGGAGGAUGAAGGUUCUCGGAUUGUCAACCCUUUUUGUUAGAGAAGAUAAUGACGGUAUCUAACGAAUCAGCACCGUCUAACUCCGUGCCAGCAGCCGCGGCAAUACGGAGGGUGCAAGCGUUAGUCGGAAUCACUGGGCGUAAAGCGCGCGUAGGCGGGAUAGCAAGUCAGAUGGGAAAUCCUAUGGCUUAACCAUAGAACUGCAUUUGAAACUGGUAUUCUAGAGUAUGGGAGAGGUAGGUGGAAUGCGUGGUGUAGGGGUAAAAUCCGUAGAGAUCAAGAGGAAUACUCAUUGCGAAGGCGACCUGCUAGAACGUAACUGACGCUGAUGCGCGAAAGCGUGGGGAGCGAACAGGAUUAGAUACCCCUGUAGUC
RNAcentral lists this ribosomal RNA (440 nucleotides) under uncultured bacterium. Its description in RNAcentral is "partial 16S ribosomal RNA". It matches the Rfam family "Bacterial small subunit ribosomal RNA", at positions 338 to 795 of the family's 1533-position model. The record is from RNAcentral.